UAAGUCAGUGGUGAAAUCCCAUCGCUUAACGAUGGAACUGCCAUUGAUACUGUUAGUCUUGAAUGAGGGUGCAGUGGUUGGAAUGUGUAGUGUAGCGGUGAAAAUGCAUAGAUAUUUACACAGAACACCGAUUGCGAAGGCAGAUCACUAACCCUAAGUUGACGCUGAGGGACGAAAGCGUGGGGAGCGAACAGGAUUAGAUACCCUGGUAG
RNAcentral lists this ribosomal RNA (212 nucleotides) under uncultured bacterium. Its description in RNAcentral is "partial 16S ribosomal RNA". It matches the Rfam family "Bacterial small subunit ribosomal RNA", at positions 584 to 793 of the family's 1533-position model. The record is from RNAcentral.